GACGAACGCUGGCGGCGUGCUUAACACAUGCAAGUCGAACGGAAAGGCCCUGCGUUUGUGGGGUGCUCGAGUGGCGAACGGGGGAGUAACACGUGAGUAACCUGUCCUUGACUUUGGGAUAACUUCAGGAAACUGGGGCUAAUACCGGAUAGGAGCUCCUGCUGCAUGGGGGGGGUUGGAAAGUUUCGGCGGUUGGGGAUGGACUCGCGGCUUAUCAGCUAGAUAGUCGAGUAGGGGCGUACCAAGGGUUCGACGGGUAGCCGGCCUGAGAGGGUAGACGGGGACAAUGGUACUGCGAUACGGCGCAGACGGGUACGGGAGGCAGCGGUCGAGAGCAUUGCACAGUAGGCGGACGCGUGAGACGACAGCGCCCGGUGCGGGAUGCCCGCCUUCGGGUUAUAAACCGCUUUCGCCUGAGACGAGGCGUGCGUGACGGUAAUUGGUAAAGAAGCAACGGCUAACUACGUG
This 468-nucleotide ribosomal RNA is filed under the name uncultured bacterium. RNAcentral's name for it is "partial 16S ribosomal RNA". It matches the Rfam family "Bacterial small subunit ribosomal RNA", at positions 28 to 507 of the family's 1533-position model. The record is from RNAcentral.